Long non-coding RNA from Solea senegalensis (Senegalese sole), 1302 nucleotides. RefSeq lists it as uncharacterized. The transcript has 2 exons. NCBI's taxonomy places the organism in Eukaryota, Metazoa, Chordata, Actinopteri, Pleuronectiformes, Soleidae. The record is from RefSeq and is a predicted model, not a curated record.
CACACAGAACCAGGAGUAAGAAGAAAAUACACAAGGACGAGAGAGAGACACACGUUCAAGCAGGUCUGACAAUAACACCCCCCACGCACACACACACCACAACCCUUUCCCUUCCCAACUCCCAAAAAAUCCCAGCAGCAACAAACUAAAACCAACAUUUUCGAUCAAAACCUCUGACACUGUGAGAGAGAGUGUGUGAGCAGCUGCACCUGUGGACCAUCAGGACUCUUAUUCUCUUAAGCUUCCUGUGGAACGGCCAAUCAGCUUCCAGGAUCCACACACACACCUGAAACCCAUCUCUUAAUUUAGCAGGUGAAUGCGCUCUGAUACGUGUUCUGAGAUCGACUGUCAGCUGACAGCUGCUUCAGGCUCAGCAGGUUCGGUUCACAGAGUAUGUUGCCAGGGUAACUGACUCAGAGUUUUCACUAAACCUGCUGACAAUGUUCUGAGUCCCAGUGAGACAGCAGUGACUUUUGACCUCAGAGGAGGAGGAGACUUCAAAGAAAUCACAUUUAAUCACUUUGAGAUUAGACACAAUGACCAGUGAACGUCUUUGGCUCCGCCCACUCCAUCACUGUUUUACAUUUUUAAUUUAGCGACUUGUUGUUUGUUUCAUGUGCGGAUGAGAUUAUAAUUCCACAUGUUGUUUGAUUCAGGUGCAGAUGAGACUAUAAUCCCACGUUUGUUUUAUGUGCAGCUAAAAUUAUAAUUCCACAUGUCGUUUGAUUCAGGUGCAGAUGAGAUUAUAAUCCCACAUGUUGUUUGAUUCACAUGCACAUGAGAUUAUAAUCCAAAUGUCGUUUGAUCCAUGUGCACAUGAGAUUAUAAUCCCACAUGUCGUUUGAUUCAGGUGCAGAUGAGAUUAUAAUCCCAAAUGUCAUUUGAUCCAUGUGCAGAUACGAUUAUAAUCCCACAUGGUCAGUCCACUUUCCUGCCCAGUGUCCACAUGUCAGGCUACGGGUCACUGGGAGGGGGCGGAGUCUUUCCUGGACAGAGAGACAAGAACAUCAUGUAAAAGGAAGCUGAUCUGAUUUUCUGCUCUGGUUUCCUGGCUGUUGCCGUGGAAACAGACGAGAAUCUGACAACUGAAAGAAAGAAAAUGUUUUUAUUUUAAAUGAUUUAAAAAAAAAAAACUGUGAUUUUUCUUUUUUAAAGUGAUUAAAUAAAUAAAUCUGAGGGAAAAUGUGUUUGUAUUAAUGUAACUGUCAGAUUAUUGGAUGUAUCUUCUGUGUGUGUGUGUGUUUGCAAAUCACCAGUGUGUUGUUGAACUUUUUAAAUUAAAUAAAAACAUUUUUAGUAAAA